RNAcentral lists this ribosomal RNA (497 nucleotides) under uncultured bacterium. Its description in RNAcentral is "partial 16S ribosomal RNA". It matches the Rfam family "Bacterial small subunit ribosomal RNA", at positions 28 to 507 of the family's 1533-position model. The record is from RNAcentral.
GAUGAACGCUGGCGGCGUGCCUAAUACAUGCAAGUCGAGCGAACAGACGAGGAGCUUGCUCCUCUGACGUUAGCGGCGGACGGGUGAGUAACACGUGGAUAACCUACCUAUAAGACUGGGAUAACUUCGGGAAACCGGAGCUAAUACCGGAUAAUAUAUUGAACCGCAUGGUUCAAUAGUGAAAGACGGUUUUGCUGUCACUUAUAGAUGGAUCCGCGCCGCAUUAGCUAGUUGGUAAGGUAACGGCUUACCAAGGCAACGAUGCGUAGCCGACCUGAGAGGGUGAUCGGCCAAACUGGAACUGAGGCACGGUCCAGACUCCUACGGGAGGCAGCAGUAGGGAAUCUUCCGCAAUGGGGGAAAGCCUGACGGAGCAAAGCCGCGUGAGGGAUGAAGGUCUUCGGAUCGUAAAACUUUGUUAUUAGGGAAGAACAAAUGUGUAAGUAACUAUGCACGUCUUGACGGUACCUAAUCAGAAAGCCACGGCUAACUACGUG